GAUGAACGCUGGCGGCGUGCCUAAUACAUGCAAGUCGAGCGAACAGACGAGGAGCUUGCUCCUCUGACGUUAGCGGCGGACGGGUGAGUAACACGUGGAUAACCUACCUAUAAGACUGGGAUAACUUCGGGAAACCGGAGCUAAUACCGGAUAAUAUAUUGAACCGCAUGGUUCAAUAGUGAAAGACGGUUUUGCUGUCACUUAUAGAUGGAUCCGCGCCGCAUUAGCUAGUUGGUAAGGUAACGGCUUACCAAGGCAACGAUGCGUAGCCGACCUGAGAGGGUGAUCGGCCACACUGGAGCUGAGACACGGUCCAGACUCCUACGGGAGGCAGCAGUAGGGAAUCUUCCGCAAUGGGCGAAAGCCUGACGGAGCAACGCCGCGUGAGUGAUGAAGGUCUUCGGAUCGUAAAACUCUGUUAUUAGGGAAGAACAAAUGUGUAAGUAACUAUGCACGUCUUGACGGUACCUAAUCAGAAAGCCACGGCUAACUACGUG
This 497-nucleotide ribosomal RNA is filed under the name uncultured bacterium. RNAcentral describes it as "partial 16S ribosomal RNA". It matches the Rfam family "Bacterial small subunit ribosomal RNA", at positions 28 to 507 of the family's 1533-position model. The record is from RNAcentral.